UCUCCGUUGGUGAACCAGCGGAGGGAUCAUUACCAGAGAUUUACAAAUCCCAACCCUUCUGUGAACCUACCUAUCGUUUCUUCUGCGGACUCACCCCAGCGUCCGAACGGCCCCGCGCCGGACCGCGACCUGGACAAAGGCGGCCGCCAGAAACCACACGAUCAUGUAACCCUCAAUCCCACUGACUACACCGCAAGGCAAAACACACGCAUCAAAACUUACCACAAUAGAUCUCUUGGUUCUGGCAUCGAAGAAGAACGAAGCGGAAUGGAAGAGCAC
RNAcentral lists this unclassified non-coding RNA (279 nucleotides) under plant metagenome. RNAcentral's name for it is "partial contains small subunit ribosomal RNA, internal transcribed spacer 1, and 5.8S ribosomal RNA". The record is from RNAcentral.